GACGAACGCUGGCGGCGUGCCUAAUACAUGCAAGUAGAACGCUGAAGGAGGAGCUUGCUUCUCUGGAUGAGUUGCGAACGGGUGAGUAACGCGUAGGUAACCUGCCUGGUAGCGGGGGAUAACUAUUGGAAACGAUAGCUAAUACCGCAUAAUAGUAGAUGUUGCAUGACAUUUGCUUAAAAGGUGCAAUUGCAUCACUACCAGAUGGACCUGCGUUGUAUUAGCUAGUUGGUGGGGUAACGGCUCACCAAGGCGACGAUACAUAGCCGACCUGAGAGGGUGAUCGGCCACACUGGGACUGAGACACGGCCCAGACUCCUACGAGAGGCAGCAGUAGGGAAUCUGCGGCAAUGGACGGAAGUCUGACCGAGCAACGCCGCGUGAGUGAAGAAGGUUUUCGGAUCGUAAAGCGCGGUUGUAAGAGAAGAACGAGUGUGGGAGUGGAAAGUUCACACUGUGACGGUAUCUUACCAGAAAGGGACGGCUAACUACGUG
RNAcentral lists this ribosomal RNA (495 nucleotides) under uncultured bacterium. RNAcentral describes it as "partial 16S ribosomal RNA". It matches the Rfam family "Bacterial small subunit ribosomal RNA", at positions 28 to 507 of the family's 1533-position model. The record is from RNAcentral.